RNAcentral lists this ribosomal RNA (497 nucleotides) under uncultured bacterium. RNAcentral's name for it is "partial 16S ribosomal RNA". It matches the Rfam family "Bacterial small subunit ribosomal RNA", at positions 28 to 507 of the family's 1533-position model. The record is from RNAcentral.
GAUGAACGCUGGCGGCGUGCCUAAUACAUGCAAGUCGAGCGAACAGACGAGGAGCUUGCUCCUCUGACGUUAGCGGCGGACGGGUGAGUAACACGUGCAUAACCUACCUAUAAGACUGGGAUAACUUCGGGAAACCGGAGCUAAUACCGGAUAAUAUAUUGAACCGCAUGGUUCAAUAGUGAAAGACGGUUUUGCUGUCACUUAUAGAUGGAUCCGCGCCGCAUUAGCUAGUUGGUAAGGUAACGGCUUACCAAGGCAACGAUGCGUAGCCGACCUGAGAGGGUGAUCGGCCACACUGGAACUGAGACACGGUCCAGACUCCUACGGGAGGCAGCAGUAGGGAAUCUUCCGCAAAGGGCGAAAGCCUGACGGAGCAACGCCGCGUGAGUGAUGAAGGUCUUCGGAUCGUAAAACUCUGUUAUUAGGGAAGAACAAAUGUGUAAGUAACUAUGCACGUCUUGACGGUACCUAAUCAGAAAGCCACGGCUAACUACGUG